RNAcentral lists this unclassified non-coding RNA (253 nucleotides) under uncultured Flavobacteriaceae bacterium. Its description in RNAcentral is "contains 16S-23S intergenic spacer region". It matches the Rfam family "Bacterial small subunit ribosomal RNA", at positions 524 to 776 of the family's 1533-position model. Lineage: Bacteria; Pseudomonadati; Bacteroidota; Flavobacteriia; Flavobacteriales; Flavobacteriaceae. The record is from RNAcentral.
UACGGAGGAUCCAAGCGUUAUCCGGAAUCAUUGGGUUUAAAGGGUCCGUAGGCGGGACAAUAAGUCAGCGGUGAAAGUCUGUGGCUCAACCAUAGAAUUGCCAUUGAUACUGUUGUUCUUGAGUGUUUAUGAAGUGGUUAGAAUAUGUAGUGUAGCGGUGAAAUGCUUAGAUAUUACAUGGAAUACCGAUUGCGAAGGCAGAUCACUAACAAUAUACUGACGCUGAUGGACGAAAGCGUAGGCAGCGAACAGG